AAUGAGAUGCCUGAAAAAAAGGAUUAUUUUGAUAGAAUAAAUUAUGUAAUUAUUUUACUCUCAUUA
This 66-nucleotide transfer RNA is filed under the name Hydroporus erythrocephalus. RNAcentral describes it as "tRNA-Ile". The record is from RNAcentral. Lineage: Eukaryota; Metazoa; Arthropoda; Insecta; Coleoptera; Dytiscidae.